This is a long non-coding RNA of Biomphalaria glabrata, 434 nucleotides long. RefSeq lists it as uncharacterized. The transcript is spliced from 3 exons. Lineage: Eukaryota; Metazoa; Mollusca; Gastropoda; Planorbidae. The record is from RefSeq and is a predicted model, not a curated record.
UUAAAAUCAUAGACUAUAUAUUACAUGGACUGCCAACUCUACGCACUAAGCCUAUAUUUUUCAAUAAACAAGUCCCGUUCACGGAGGCGUCCUUGGUUGCGUGGUAAAUUGACUUCCGGUAGAUUUUUUUUUUACGUAUAAAGAAACCAUUCUCGAAGAUUUUUACCACCACUUUUACAGCAAAUCAUGAAUGGAAACUGAAUUGUUAAAGAAGAUGUUACAGAGGAGCAUACUACUUCCAAAAACCUGAUUUGAUUGUCACUAACUUUCAAAUUGAAGGGGAUCUACUACAACUGCUCAUGAAUUUCGAGAUUUUACAGCUAAUAGAGGAACAAAUUUUAUCUGCUUCCACUUAGCCAAACAGCAUGGAAAUAUGCUAUUGUAAUGAGUAGAAGAUAUUUGUCAUUUAGAGUAUCAUGCAACAGCUAAUUAUC